This 407-nucleotide ribosomal RNA is filed under the name uncultured bacterium. RNAcentral's name for it is "partial 16S ribosomal RNA". It matches the Rfam family "Bacterial small subunit ribosomal RNA", at positions 29 to 526 of the family's 1533-position model. The record is from RNAcentral.
AAUGAACGCUAGCGGGGUGCCUUAUACAUGCAAGUCGAACGGCAUGUCGAACGGGGGAGUACUGACUGGGGACGUACCCAGUAGUGGCGUAUACCUACGCGAAAGCGUAGCCUAUACAGCAGACGAUUGGAGCGGCCGAUAUCGUAUUAGCUAGUUGGUGCGGUAACGGCUCACCAAGUCGACGAGCCGUAGGCGGUUUGAGAGGACGACCAGCCACACUGGGAAUGAGACACGGACCAGACUCCUACGGGAGGCAGCAGUGGGGAAUUUUGGACAAUGGGGGAAAGCCUGAUCGAGCAAUGCCGCGUGAGCGAUGAAGGGUUUCGGGUUGUAAAGCACUUUUGUGAGGAAAGCGGUACCUGAAGAAUAAGCAACGGCUAACUACGUGCCAGCAGCCGCGGUAAUUC